AUUGAACGCUGGCGGCAGGCUUAACACAUGCAAGUCGAGCGGGGGAAGGUAGCUUGCUACCGGACCUAGCGGCGGACGGGUGAGUAAUGCUUAGGAAUCUGCCUAUUAGUGAGGGACAACAUCUCGAAAGGGAUGCUAAUACCGCAUACGUCCUACGGGAGAAAGCAGGGGAUCUUCGGACCUUGCGCUAAUAGAUGAGCCUAAGUCGGAUUAGCUAGUUGGUGGGGUAAAGGCCUACCAAGGCGACGAUCUGUAGCGGGUCUGAGAGGAUGGUCCGCCACACUGGGACUGAGACACGGCCCAGACUCCUACGGGAGGUAGCAGUGGGGAAUAUUGGACAAUGGGGGGAACCCUGAUCCAGCCAUGCCGCGUGUGUGAAGAAGGCCUUACGGUUGUAAAGCACUUUAAGCGAGGAGGAGGCUACUUUAGUUAAUACCUAGAGAUAGUGGACGUUACUCGCAGAAUAAGCACCGGCUAACUCUGUGCCAGCCGCCGCGGUAA
RNAcentral lists this ribosomal RNA (501 nucleotides) under uncultured bacterium. RNAcentral describes it as "partial 16S ribosomal RNA". It matches the Rfam family "Bacterial small subunit ribosomal RNA", at positions 30 to 523 of the family's 1533-position model. The record is from RNAcentral.